GAUGAAGAACGUAGCGAAAUGCGAUAAGUAAUGUGAAUUGCAGAAUUCAGUGAAUCAUCGAAUCUUUGAACGCACAUUGCGCCCCCUGGUAUUCCGGGGGGCAUGCCUGUCCGAGCGUCAUUACAACCCUCAAGCUCAGCUUGGUAUUGGGCCCCGCCGACCCGGCGGGCCCUAAAGUCAGUGGCGGUGCCGUCCGGCUCCGAGCGUAGUAAUUCUUCUCGCUCUGGAGGUCCGGUCGUGUGCUCGCCAGCAACCCCCAAUUUUUUUCAGGUUGACCUCGGAUCAGGUAGGGAUACCUGCUGAACUUAAGCAUAUCAAUAAGCGGAGGA
RNAcentral lists this unclassified non-coding RNA (329 nucleotides) under soil metagenome. RNAcentral describes it as "partial contains 5.8S ribosomal RNA, internal transcribed spacer 2, and large subunit ribosomal RNA". The stretch from base 1 to 120 matches the Rfam family "5.8S ribosomal RNA", at positions 35 to 154 of the family's 154-position model. The record is from RNAcentral.